GAAGUUAAAGGCUGUGGCUUAACCAUAGUACGCUUUNGAAACUGUUUAACUUGAGUGCAGAAGGGGAGAGUGGAAUUCCAUGUGUAGCGGUGAAAUGCGUAGAUAUAUGGAGGAACACCGGUGGCGAAAGCGGCUCUCUGGUCUGUAACUGACGCUGAGGCUCGAAAGCGUGGGGAGCGAACAGGAUUAGAUACCCUGGUAGUCCACGCCGUAAACGAUGAGUGCUAGGUGUUAGGCCCUUUCCGGGGCUUAGUGCCGCAGCUAACGCAUUAAGCACUCCGCCUGGGGAGUACGACCGCAAGGUUGAAGCUCAAAGGAAUUGACGGGGGCCCGCACAAGCGGUGGAGCAUGUGGUUUAAUUCGAAGCAACGCGAAGAACCUUACCAGGUCUUGACAUCCCGAUGCCCGCUCUAGAGAUAGAGUUUUACUUCGGUACAUCGGUGACAGGUGGUGCAUGGUUGUCGUCAGCUCGUGUCGUGAGAUGUUGGGUUAAGUCCCGCAACGAGCGCAACCCUUAUUGUUAGUUGCCAUCAUUGAGUUGGGCACUCUAGCGAGACUGCCGGUAAUAAACCGGAGGAAGGUGGGGAUGACGUCAAAUCAUCAUGCCCCUUAUGACCUGGGCUACACGCGUGCUACAAUGGCUGGUACAACGAGUCGCAAGCCGGUGACGGCAAGCUAAUCUCUGAAAGCCAGUCUCAGUUCGGAUUGUAGGCUGCAACUCGCCUACAUGAAGUCGGAAUCGCUAGUAAUCGCGGAUCAGCACGCCGCGGUGAAUACGUUCCCGGGCCUUGUACACACCGCCCGUCACACCACGAGAGUUUGUAACACCCGAAGUCGGUGAGGUAACCGUAAGGAGCCAGCCGCC
This 865-nucleotide ribosomal RNA is filed under the name uncultured bacterium. RNAcentral describes it as "bacterial SSU rRNA". It matches the Rfam family "Bacterial small subunit ribosomal RNA", at positions 591 to 1457 of the family's 1533-position model. The record is from RNAcentral.